AGUGAACGCUGGCGGUAGGCCUAACACAUGCAAGUCGAACGGCAGCACAGUAAGAGCUUGCUCUUACGGGUGGCGAGUGGCGGACGGGUGAGGAAUACAUCGGAAUCUACUUUUUCGUGGGGGAUAACGUAGGGAAACUUACGCUAAUACCGCAUACGACCUACGGGUGAAAGCAGGGGAUCUUCCGACCUUGCGCGAUUGAAUGAGCCGAUGUCGGAUUAGCUAGUUGGCGGGGUAAAGGCCCACCAAGGCGACGAUCCGUAGCUGGUCUGAGAGGAUGAUCAGCCACACUGGAACUGAGACACGGUCCAGACUCCUACGGGAGGCAGCAGUGGGGAAUAUUGGACAAUGGGCGCAAGCCUGAUCCAGCCAUACCGCGUGGGUGAAGAAGGCCUUCGGGUUGUAAAGCCCUUUUGUUGGGAAAGAAAAGCAGCAGGUUAAUACCCCGCUGUUCUGACGGUACCCAAAGAAUAAGCACCGGCUAACUUCGU
Molecule: ribosomal RNA, 491 nt
Filed under: uncultured bacterium
Lineage: Bacteria
Description: partial 16S ribosomal RNA
Rfam family: Bacterial small subunit ribosomal RNA
Source: RNAcentral